UACAGAGACGGCGAGCGUUGUUCGGAUUCAUUGGGCGUAAAGGGUGCGUAGGCGGUCGGCUAAGUCGGAUGUGAAAUCUCACAGCCCAACUGUGAGCGGUCAUUCGAAACUAGACGGCUAGAGGACUGGAGAGGAGACUGGAAUGGUCGGUGUAGCGGUGAAAUGCGUAGAGAUCGACCAGAACACCGGUGGCGAAGGCGGCUUGCCAGAAUGCGCUCGACGGUGAGGGAUGAAAGCUGGGGGAGCAAACCGG
RNAcentral lists this ribosomal RNA (253 nucleotides) under uncultured bacterium. RNAcentral's name for it is "partial 16S ribosomal RNA". It matches the Rfam family "Bacterial small subunit ribosomal RNA", at positions 524 to 776 of the family's 1533-position model. The record is from RNAcentral.